GACGAACGCUGGCGGCGUGCCUAAUACAUGCAAGUUGAGCGCUGAAGGUUGGUACUUGUACCGACUGGAUGAGCAGCGAACGGGUGAGUAACGCGUGGGGAAUCUGCCUUUGAGCGGGGGACAACAUUUGGAAACGAAUGCUAAUACCGCAUAAAAACUUUAAACACAAGUUUUAAGUUUGAAAGAUGCAAUUGCAUCACUCAAAGAUGAUCCCGCGUUGUAUUAGCUAGUUGGUGAGGUAAAGGCUCACCAAGGCGAUGAUGCAUAGCCGACCUGAGAGGGUGAUCGGCCACAUUGGGACUGAGACACGGCCCAAACUCCUACGGGAGGCAGCAGUAGGGAAUCUUCGGCAAUGGACGAAAGUCUGACCGAGCAGCGCCGCGUGAGUGAAGAAGGUUUUCGGAUCGUAAAACUCUGUUGGUAGAGAAGAACGUUGGUGAGAGUGGAAAGCUCAUCAAGUGACGGUAACUACCCAGAAAGGGACGGCUAACUACGUG
This 497-nucleotide ribosomal RNA is filed under the name uncultured bacterium. Its description in RNAcentral is "partial 16S ribosomal RNA". It matches the Rfam family "Bacterial small subunit ribosomal RNA", at positions 28 to 507 of the family's 1533-position model. The record is from RNAcentral.